RNA transcript from Helianthus annuus (common sunflower), 2173 nucleotides. It is a transcript of the gene named homeobox-leucine zipper protein ATHB-15-like, with no coding region annotated. NCBI's taxonomy places the organism in Eukaryota, Viridiplantae, Streptophyta, Magnoliopsida, Asterales, Asteraceae. The transcript is spliced from 16 exons. The record is from RefSeq and is a predicted model, not a curated record.
ACUUUUUCUUAAUUUUGAAUUUUAAAAAGCCUGAAUAUCAGGUCUCCCCUUUUGCAGGAAAUAGAGAAAGAACGCAAAAGUCCCCCUCCCACCUGCCUUCAAAGCUGAUUCAAGCACAAAAUACUUUAUUGGGGUUUUCUACAGAGAGAGAGAUGGCUGACGAAUCCUUGAAGAAGAAGGGCGAUGGGUUUGAAUCAGCUACACAAAUCACAAUUGCUUCCGCACCGCUUCUCAUUCCAAAUUAACUUUUACGGUCUCUUCCUUUCUGAAACAUGGUGAUGUUGUUAGGAUGCUGCAUACAAGGACCUGGGAAGAUGCUGGUAUACGACUAUCUACUAUCUACGGAACACGAGCCUCGAUUACAUCCUUUUAGAUAAGCAAAAGUCUCCAUCUCUGCGCUUUGCACUCGACACAAAGGUCAUUUGUAUUUCGAGUCUAUAGUACCACGAUCUACUAUUAAAUGCUAUAUUACUUAAGAUAUGAGUGAUUACUGGUUGUCCUAAUAUAUUUAAUAGGAAGCAUCCCUGAAUCUAGAGGCGUGUCUAAGUUGAGUCAACUUCUUGGAGUAAAUAUUGACCCUAUUCAGUUCGUAUAUAUUUUGCAGCUAUUUUUAUGGUGAGGAACAAGGCCAUUGGAAUCAACUUGUUGAUAUUUAUUACCGUAAAGGUGUCAAUAAGGCAGACGCAGUUCCAUUUACUCUUGCAGGUAAACUACUACAAAUUUUUUAGUCGACGGUGGCAAUAUCAAGCCAUUUACUUAUCAAUGGGACAAUAAGUUGACUUUAGUUUUCUUUUAUAUUACACGAGAGAAAAGGGUCAGAUGCGCUGGCUGAUUUCCUGCCUCGAUCACUUUGUUGUUCAUGGCGAAACCAGGCCGCGUCCGUCCCUCCACACUGUAUCGCUCCGGCUCAGUCUCAUCCACUUGCUCUCGCUCCAUCUCCGGCUCCUCUCGCUUAUCCUAUCAUUCCAGAUCUCGCUCCAGAUCCUACUCAUCUGUUGGUUCAUAAUGUUUAGUUGGAAGAAGAAGGAAGACAACGCUGCCAGAAUACAACCUUUUGUAUUCUCUAAUACAUUAAAAACACCAUUUGAUCAAGGGCCUAUAACCUAACAGGAUUGAUAUUGGUGUUGAUAUUCUAAGUGGACUUCUGGCCUGGUCAUCUUUUUCUCGACAUCAUUUCAAAUCAAAAGCAUUGAAUCAAGUUGAAGAUAAGGUUGAAAUUUUAUUGUUAUCAAAGUCAUGGAGAACCAUCCAUAGCUUAUUGAUUUCACAUAUUAGGGUUUAGCAAGACGACAGUUGCUAGCAAGGACACUAGCUGUGAAUCAGUGGUGAGCAGUGGUCAAGGUCAACGGCAAUUAACCCCACAACAUCCUCCACGGGAUGCUAGUCCUGCUGGACUUUUGUCCAUUGCAGAGGAAACUUUAACAGAUUUUCUUUGGAAGGCUACUGGAACCGCUGUAGAGUGGGUCCAGAUGCCUGGAAUGAAGUCCGGAUUCCAUUGGAAUCGUUGCUAUUUCUCACAGUUGCACUGGCGUGGCGUCGCGAGCGUGUGGCUUGGUCAGUCUUGAGCCUACUAGGAAAGUGCUGGGUCUAGUGUAAACUGGUCUCAAUUUGACAAAUAUGAGGGAAUUAGGAUCAAACACUUUAAGACUGUGUCAUCAGUGGAAUGGCAUCGAAAAGGAGACUAUUUUUCUACUGUCAUGCCUGCAGAUAUCCUUCUCAUUCUUAACCAAUUACCUUUGCGCUUGUAUAUUGUGGAACAACUUUGAAGAACCUAUCUGAUGUUACUCACCCUUGGGUCCGUUCUCAAAAACUUGUUGGGCAUUUGUUAUUCUAAGUUGUAUGGUGUCAUUUGCCAAGUCAGCGCUCGAGAAAGCUUUGGCUGAAGGCGUUGAUAUAGGUGGCAGUGGCGCUGAGAGCUCGUCUGCUGUGGAGGAAGCUCAGGUAGAUAUCCAUGACCCGCUACUCAUCAAAGGUUGAUUCUUUCUUUCAAAAAAUAAAUCACAGAGAAUUUUAUGUUUUUUCUUAAUAUAUUUUGGAUACCUGAGGAGUUUAUGUAAUAUGUCAAACCUCUUUAGAGUCUAUAUGAUGUUUUGAUUUGGAUGUUUAUUAUGAGGACCAUCGGAUGUAUAAAUUUUUACAUUUUAAUGGAAUGGCAACAAGUUAUAAAUUGUUA